This 408-nucleotide ribosomal RNA is filed under the name Plakobranchus ocellatus. Its description in RNAcentral is "partial 16S ribosomal RNA". It matches the Rfam family "Bacterial large subunit ribosomal RNA", at positions 1832 to 2562 of the family's 2925-position model. Lineage: Eukaryota; Metazoa; Mollusca; Gastropoda; Plakobranchidae. The record is from RNAcentral.
AGCUUUAAGUUUUAUUUAAAGUGAGACCUGCCCAGUGCUAAUUAGUAAACGGCCGCAGUACCUUGACUGUGCUAAGGUAGCAUAAUCAGUUGGCUUUUAAAUGGAGUCGGGAAUGAAUGGAUUAAUAGGGUUAAGCUGUCUCUACUAUAUUAAAUUGAACUUACUUAUUAGGUGAAAAUGCCUAAGUUGUAAAAGAAAAAAGACGAGAAGACCCUAGGAGUUUUAACUAGAUGCUAUUUAUUAUAGUUAAUGUUUUUGUUGGGGCGACAUUGGAACAAUUUUAAACUUCCUUUAUGUUUAUAGGCCGACUUUGUAUGUAAAUCUAAACUACCCUAGGGAUAACAGCGUAAUUCUUUUUGAGCUUGCGACCUCGAUGUUGGACUAGGAAUUUGGUGGGCUAGCCGCCUA